CCUACGGGAGGCUGCAGUGAGGAAUAUUGGUCAAUGGCCGGAAGGCUGAACCAGCCAUGCCGCGUGAAGGUCAGUGCCCUAUGGGCGUUAAACUUCUUUUGUGCGGGAGCAAUAAUGGUCACGUGUGGCCAGACGAGAGUACCGUACGAAUAAGCAUCGGCUAACUCCGUGCCAGCAGCCGCGGUAAUACGGGGGAUGCAAGCGUUAUCCGGAUUUAUUGGGUUUAAAGGGUGCGUAGGCUGUGAGGUAAGUCAGCGGUGAAAUGCCCCCGCUCAACGGGGUGAAGUGCCAUUGAUACUGCCUGGCUGGAAUGUGGAUGCGGCGGGAGGAAUGUGUGGUGUAGCGGUGAAAUGCAUAGAUAUCACACAGAACACCGAUUGCGAAGGCAUCUCACGAAUCCGCGAUUGACGCUGAUGCACGAAAGCGUGGGUAUCAAACAGGAUUAGAUACCCUUGUAGUC
This 460-nucleotide ribosomal RNA is filed under the name uncultured bacterium. Its description in RNAcentral is "partial 16S ribosomal RNA". It matches the Rfam family "Bacterial small subunit ribosomal RNA", at positions 338 to 795 of the family's 1533-position model. The record is from RNAcentral.